Molecule: long non-coding RNA, 702 nt
Filed under: Malus domestica (apple)
Lineage: Eukaryota; Viridiplantae; Streptophyta; Magnoliopsida; Rosales; Rosaceae
Description: long non-coding RNA (MDOM_LNC010413)
Source: RNAcentral
CUGGCACACCAUACGGAACAGUUAACGCCGUUAGAGAAUAUUUCGUAAAAAAAUCAGCAUAUACCGAUAUAUUUUCCUGACGACAUUAAGAAUAUUCUGUCAAAAUUGACGGAAUAUACUCCUUCUCCUUCCUUGGUUCGCCAGAGUCUGGCGCCGGCGCCGCUGCGAUCAAAGAAUGUUAUUCAUAAUACUCGAAGAAUGUUAAAUUUUAUCUGGAGGCAUCUUCGUUUAAUAUUGUGUCUCCCUUAAAAUCUCUUCCAGACGAGUUGCACUAACAGGCUUACGGAAAUUAAAUCCUAUUUUACUUAGCCGAAAGCUUUUGCUUCUUCCUUUACUUCUUUCAUAUAGAAAAGGUAGGGUGUUUGGAGAAAAUAUGAGGUGUAUGUUGAGAAUGUAGGGUAUGAGGGUAUUAUGGGGAAAUAUGUGGGGUGUGUUAAGAUAAUUUUUAAUUAAAAAGCCAAAUGUAUGGUGUAUUAAGUAUAUAAGGUUUAUUUAACAAUAUGUGGGGUGUUAAUAUAAUAAGCAUUUUUUAAUCAAUUUGGGGAUUUAUGCCAACCAAAUGGGGCUCGGUUGAAAGGGUAAUUAUUAAACUUUAGGAGGGUAAUUAUUCAAUGGACAUGAUUAGGGGUCGUUUUGGUCAUUUUGUACCUUGGGUUGGGGUAGGUUGAUUCGAUGGCUCAGAGUGUUUUCUUCCUGCAAUUU